UUUGAAAUAAAUCAGAAUUAAUCUGAGCCACAUGAUCUAGCGCGAAAAUGUAAUCAAGCGUUCCAUAUUUGAAACUCAAAACGCACAACAUUACUAAACACAGUCAGGAUACCACUCAAGCAAGUCAAACACACGCAAGCAUGGUCAAACAAAUGAGAACCAAUGGAAUGGACAUGCAAGCGAAACAAUCAGCAUCCAGCAAGCAUAAGUGAAACGCAG
RNAcentral lists this long non-coding RNA (219 nucleotides) under Lathyrus oleraceus (garden pea). RNAcentral's name for it is "Pisum sativum (pea) long non-coding RNA (PSAT_LNC001639)". Lineage: Eukaryota; Viridiplantae; Streptophyta; Magnoliopsida; Fabales; Fabaceae. The record is from RNAcentral.